RNAcentral lists this ribosomal RNA (1346 nucleotides) under uncultured bacterium. Its description in RNAcentral is "bacterial SSU rRNA". It matches the Rfam family "Bacterial small subunit ribosomal RNA", at positions 28 to 1381 of the family's 1533-position model. The record is from RNAcentral.
GACGAACGCUGGCGGCGUGCUUAACACAUGCAAGUCGAACGGAAAGGCCCUGCUUUUGUGGGGUGCUCGAGUGGCGAACGGGUGAGUAACACGUGAGUAACCUGCCCUUGACUUUGGAAUAACUUCAGGAAACUGGGGCUAAUACCGGAUAGGAGCUCCUGCUGCAUGGUGGGGGUUGGAAAGUUUCGGCGGUUGGGGAUGGACUCGCGGCUUAUCAGCUUGUUGGUGGGGUAGUGGCUUACCAAGGCUUUGACGGGUAGCCGGCCUGAGAGGGUGACCGGCCACAUUGGGACUGAGAUACGGCCCAGACUCCUACGGGAGGCAGCAGUGGGGAAUAUUGCACAAUGGGCGGAAGCCUGAUGCAGCAACGCCGCGUGCGGGAUGACGGCCUUCGGGUUGUAAACCGCUUUCGCCUGUGACGAAGCGUGAGUGACGGUAAUGGGUAAAGAAGCACCGGCUAACUACGUGCCAGCAGCCGCGGUGAUACGUAGGGUGCGAGCGUUGUCCGGAUUUAUUGGGCGUAAAGGGCUCGUAGGUGGUUGAUCGCGUCGGAAGUGUAAUCUUGGGGCUUAACCCUGAGCGUGCUUUCGAUACGGGUUGACUUGAGGAAGGUAGGGGAGAAUGGAAUUCCUGGUGGAGCGGUGGAAUGCGCAGAUAUCAGGAGGAACACCAGUGGCGAAGGCGGUUCUCUGGGCCUUUCCUGACGCUGAGGAGCGAAAGCGUGGGGAGCGAACAGGCUUAGAUACCCUGGUAGUCCACGCUGUAAACGGUGGGUACUAGGUGUGGGGUCCAUUCCACGGGUUCCGUGCCGUAGCUAACGCUUUAAGUACCCCGCCUGGGGAGUACGGCCGCAAGGCUAAAACUCAAAGGAAUUGACGGGGCCCCGCACAAGCGGCGGAGCAUGCGGAUUAAUUCGAUGCAACGCGUAGAACCUUACCUGGGUUUGACAUGGAUCGGGAGCGCUCAGAGAUGGGUGUGCCUCUUUUGGGGUCGGUUCACAGGUGGUGCAUGGCUGUCGUCAGCUCGUGUCGUGAGAUGUUGGGUUAAGUCCCGCAACGAGCGCAACCCUUGUUCACUGUUGCCAGCACGUUAUGGUGGGGACUCAGUGGAGACCGCCGGGGUCAACUCGGAGGAAGGUGGGGAUGACGUCAAGUCAUCAUGCCCCUUAUGUCCAGGGCUUCACGCAUGCUACAAUGGCUGGUACAGAGAGUGGCGAGCCUGUGAGGGUGAGCGAAUCUCGGAAAGCCGGUCUCAGUUCGGAUUGGGGUCUGCAACUCGACCUCAUGAAGUCGGAGUCGCUAGUAAUCGCAGAUCAGCAACGCUGCGGUGAAUACGUUCCCGGGGCU